Molecule: ribosomal RNA, 467 nt
Filed under: uncultured bacterium
Lineage: Bacteria
Description: bacterial SSU rRNA
Rfam family: Bacterial small subunit ribosomal RNA
Source: RNAcentral
UCCAGACUCCUACGGGAGGCAGCAGUGAGGAAUAUUGGUCAAUGGACGAGAGUCUGAACCAGCCAAGUAGCGUGAAGGAUGACUGCCCUAUGGGUUGUAAACUUCUUUUAUAAAGGAAUAAAACGAGGCACGUGUGCCUUUUUGCAUGUACUUUAUGAAUAAGGAUCGGCUAACUACGUGCCAGCAGCCGCGGUAAUACGUAGGGGGCAAGCGUUAUCCGGAUUUACUGGGUGUAAAGGGAGCGUAGGCGGUUUAGCAAGUCAGAAGUGAAAGCCCGGGGCUCAACUCCGGGACUGCUUUUGAAACUGUUGAACUAGAUUGCAGGAGAGGUAAGUGGAAUUCCUAGUGUAGCGGUGAAAUGCGUAGAUAUUAGGAGGAGCACCAGUGGCGAAGGCGGCUUACUGGACUGUAAAUGACGCUGAGGCUCGAAAGCGUGGGGAGCAAACAGGAUUAGAUACCCUGGUAGA